Long non-coding RNA from Etheostoma spectabile (orangethroat darter), 305 nucleotides. RefSeq lists it as uncharacterized. Lineage: Eukaryota; Metazoa; Chordata; Actinopteri; Perciformes; Percidae. The record is from RefSeq and is a predicted model, not a curated record. The transcript is spliced from 3 exons.
CUGAUCUACUGAAACAAGCUGUGCAGAAAAUGAGAACAUUUAACAAGGACAUGCACGAAGGACCUUAUGUCCUUUUGUAUCCAGACUGCUCAGAGGUGGUCCAUGUGCCCGGGUCAGAAAGGCCAUUCAAAUUGGCAGAAUAUAAAAAGGAAAUAGGAAAGGCAUAUUCCAGGAUCACUUUUUUCAUUUGCCUAGAAAAACACUAUAAAGGAGUGGAUGAUACCUCAGACUCUGAUUCUGAAAUUGUCAUCACAACAAGGAGCAGAGCCGAAUUCAAUCAAGCUGACACUUUGGUUUUUGAACCA